CAGUCUUCAGCUCAAAAUUAUUGACAUUGACUCGUGGAGGUUCCUGGUAAAUAUACUGAGGAACGAACAUCUCUGCAAUCGAAGGCUGAUUCUGAGCUUCUUUAGCAGCUUGAGCGUCCAACAGCUGUUGCAGCUGCUCCUGUAGAGCACGAAUUUGUCAUCAGUAGCCAUCGUAUGCAGUGCCUGAAAAAAUUGAGAAUUAAGAAAAAAAAUAAAAAUAAAAGCCUGAAGUACUACUAAGUCCUAUCGGAGAUAUUAAAGAAACUUCUAAUCAGUCCCCGGCAACGGCGCCAAAAAGUUGAUCACUAAAUUAUUAGCAACAAAUUACCGCAACUAACACGGUGCAAUUGUAGCACAAAC
RNAcentral lists this long non-coding RNA (360 nucleotides) under Salvia miltiorrhiza (redroot sage). RNAcentral's name for it is "long non-coding RNA (SMIL_LNC013862)". The record is from RNAcentral. Lineage: Eukaryota; Viridiplantae; Streptophyta; Magnoliopsida; Lamiales; Lamiaceae.